GCUUUUUAACAAAAACAUAAUUUAUUCAUGUAAGAAAUAGUGUGAAUGCCAGCAUACACAUCUAUAUAAAUGUCAUAUUGUUCAUCAGCAGUUGUUCAUCCCAAAACAGGUAAACAAUGAUGAAACUAAAGAUUGUACUGCCAAUAACGCUAGUUUUUUCUUUUUUAAAGUUAAUAGAAGUAUGCCGCAAUUUUCAUGUAAUUGCACUAAUACUAGUGCACUGUGUAAAGUGCUGGACAUCGCAUUGCAUUAUUACAUAGCCAGAUACAGUUUUGUAAAGUGCAUUCUAUCAAAUCUGUAAAACAUUGAUAUUGUAGAAAUAAUAUAUACCAUUUAGCAGACGCUUUUGUCCAAAGUGACUUACAGUCAUGCGUGUAUACAUUUCACAUAUGGGUGGCUCCAGUGGGAAUUGACACUUGGUGUUACAAGCAUCAUGCUCUAACAACUGAGCCACACAGGACCACAGUAUUAGAGAAAAUAUAUUUCUACCACCUGGAAAUAUUGCUACAUAAAUAGUUUGGAUCAAUAGCUUGGUUUUCUUAUUUUCUCACGUCUCAUAAGUAGAAUCCCCAAAAACAAUGCAUUAGUCUAGGGUUACUGUAGGGGCCUGUUUCGUAGUCCUGGUUCUGUGGACUCAAAGGGGUGCACAUUUUAGUUUUUACCCUAGCACUACACACAUCAUGUCACUAAUCAACUCAUCAUCAAACCUUUGAUUAGUGGAAUCAGGUGUGUAUUGCUAGGGCAAAACCAAAAAUGUGCACCCCUUUGAGUCCACAGAACCAGGAUUAAGAUACCCUGCUGUAGGGAAAUAACCAAUGUACCUUGUAGCAAGUUACAGUAGGCUACAUAGUACUUACUAUCACUAAUUCAGAUAAGUAAAUACAGACAGUCCAUAGUGGAUAUAUUUUACUUACUAACCUGUACACAUAGUAGUUAUUUAGAUUACCUAGUGUAGAUUUACUGGUACAAGGACUACCAUAAGUGGCUGUCAUGUGGUGUUCCCUAGGUGACCUGCCUCUGGGUUUUAUUUGUGUCCCAAGGAGCACUACAUGUGCUAUUACAGUACUGAGUAUGUUUACUUUCCCCUGCAGUAGUUGGUCUCAUUUGCAUGUGGUGGCGCAUCAAUGAUUAGGACCAUCCUGGUUAUGCAACGUCUGAUCUGGAUUAACCUGCAAAGCAACACAAAUGCUAUUAGAAACAUAUGUGAUCUUCCUUGAUUCACCUGCUAGCAGCACUGUGGUUAAAGGUACAAAACAGGUUUUAACUUGCGUGUUGGGGGUGUUUCUGUGUCACAAUCCCUUCUGACCUCUAGUUUAGUUUAUACCACAUGAGGCUGCUGAGGGGGGAACAGCUCAUAAUAACGGCCUGGAAACCAUGUGUUUGAUGCAUUUGAUACCAUUCCACUAAUUCCAGUCCAGUCAUUACUGCGAGCCCGUUCUCCCCAAAUAAGGUGCUACCAGCCUCCUGUGAUUUACACAUAAUUACAGGCAUUUGAAUUAAAAGAGAAAACAGGGCUGACUCUUGCCUCUGGUGUCUGGGUGAAGCGGUCCUCUAAGUAGCGGUUGCCCAGGCCCAUGAUGUGUCCUGUGGAUUGUCUGGAGAGACAGGCCACCCUGGCUGUGAAGUCCAGAGUGAAGGCCAGCUUGACCAGCUCCGGGGCAUUGACGGGCCCGGGCCCAACAGUGUGUGGUGUCUGGCGGCUCUGGCCUGUAGGGGUCUCUGUCUCCACAUACGUAUCAGCUAACUGCUGGAAGGUACUGUAGGACAGCUUCUGGAAGAAUGUGCUCAGGCUGGGGUUCUCCUUCAGCUAUGGAGAGAGCAGGACAUACUUUCAUGAGUGACCAUAGAAUAAUACAUUAUUAUCCAUGAGGAAAUAGCAAGUUUAGCCUGAAAUCCAGACCAGUUUUGUGCUAACAUUCCACUCCUUGUACUCUGUGCCAUUUACCAAACCUGUUUGGCAUAGGAUACUGAUUACAAGGGGUGGAAUGUAAGCACAAACAGACUGGUACCCAGGCUAUAGCAAGCUAUCCUGGACGUGAAAGAAGCAUUGAGUGUCAAAGAUAGACUUUGUGUUAAGUUUCUCACAUACAUUCAUUUAUUUUUUUUUGUCGUUUAUGAACACAAACCUUGUUAUCAAUGACGUCUCCUUGCUGCUUCAUCAGAACAAUUAACCUUUUGAUGACGUCCUCUGGAAGAAAUGGAUAGAAAGGGUCAAUAGAAGUCUACACAGUUAUAACAGAUGUGUGAUGUGCUGUAUUACAUGGCCUUUACAGUUUUAUAUAUAGAAUGCUUAGGAUGCUAUUGAAUGUGCGAUUUCUAUUAUGAUUGGAUAAGACAUCAAUACACAUAAGAACAUUGCUUGAUGAUAAGCUACUUACCAUCUGUAGAAGCUGUGUCUGUCUCUUUCUCCUCAGACACAAUCUUCUCCAGCUCUUCUGACACUUUCUCAUAGUACGAGUCUGUAAGCACCACACUCACAACCGCUGUAGAGAGUAACAAGUAGCAGAGUAUUUUUUUCAUGCAAUAACUCUCUAAUAACAGGACUACCAACUAACUCUCUAAUAACCGGACAACCAACUAACUCUCUAACAACCGGACUACCAACUAACUCUCUAACAACUGGACUACCAACUAACUCUCUAAUAACCGGACAACCAACUAACUCUCUAACAACCGGACUACCAACUAACUCUCUAACAACUGGACUACC
Molecule: long non-coding RNA, 2710 nt
Filed under: Salmo salar (Atlantic salmon)
Lineage: Eukaryota; Metazoa; Chordata; Actinopteri; Salmoniformes; Salmonidae
Description: lncRNA (ENSSSAG00000097413.1)
Source: RNAcentral